This is a long non-coding RNA of Balaenoptera ricei (Rice's whale), 2384 nucleotides long. RefSeq lists it as uncharacterized. Lineage: Eukaryota; Metazoa; Chordata; Mammalia; Artiodactyla; Balaenopteridae. The record is from RefSeq and is a predicted model, not a curated record. The transcript is spliced from 2 exons.
GGCAGCGGCGCACGCGGGGCCCCGGAGGCAGCCGCCCAAGGUCGCCGCCGUCCCGGCCUCCCAUUUCUGCCGGGCCGAGCCGAGGUCACCAACUUGGGCAGAGAUGAGAAAACUGAGGCACAUAAACUUGUCUCACAUCACACCAUUAGUAAGUGGAAGAGCCAGACUUCAGACCCUGAUUGUCCAACUGUUGAACUUGGUUCAGCUUCUGCUGUAGUUUUCCCUGAAUCUCACAGGACCCAGUUAUGCUGCGCUUGUGGAACAGAGUGCCAUUUGCCUGGGUGGUUGCCUCCGCAUGGGAGCACUGAACAAAACUGCCUUGGAUUCCCUCCUUUGAAGAAAUACUACAUGCUGCUUGCUGGUUCCAACAUAACAGGAGACUUUCUAUAGAAACUAUUCAUUUGUUUAAUUUCCAUUUCAUUGGGUACCUCUUGUACUACAGGGUCAGUACUAGAUGCCUAGAGAGAGAUGAAAGUGACUAAAACAGAACCCUGCCUUCAAGGGUCUUAUGGUCUAGUCAGGAAGAUAGGCAUAUAUAACCAGAUCAUUAAAACCCAAAAUAUAAUAGAGGUAUGGGAAGUAAGUGCUGAAAUGUUUAAUAGUUAACAUCUGUAUCGAUGCUUUACUGUUUAUAAGAUGUUGUCACUUGAUUUUCGCCACAUUCCUGUAAAGGAGUUAGGUAAGAGGUUAUCGUCUUCCCUAUGUUGUAGAUGCAGAAAUAGACUGAGGAGGCUGCACCCCAGGCAAGGUGCUAGUUCAUGAUGGUGUGGAGACCUUACCCAGCUUGUUUGACCCCAGGUCCCGUGCUCUUUUUUCAUCACACCAUGCUGCCUUCCCAUCUGAGGAUCUCCCGGCGCUUGGUAUGAAUGCUGCCAAAAUGAAUUGGAGCAGACGGCUGAGAACCAGAUCAGUGUCAUCCUUCCUAACCUGUCAGAGCCUCCCUGACUCAGAAAAGCCUUAACAGUAACUUGAGGAAAACACACAGACUAUGGAAGUCACCUUCAUCCAAAAGGGGCACUUCCAUAUCUUCUUUUUGUGCCUCUCAGAUUUUUUCAAAUUGAAAUUAAAAUAUUCAGGAUUCAAAGAUUAAGCCAGGAGUCUGAGUUGAGAAAGAACAGUUGGAAAUGACUUACACCAGGGCUUCUCAACAGCGGCAUUCGUGCUGGAUAAUUCUUUGUUGUGGAGACUGUCCUGUGCAUUGUGGGAUGUUUAGCAACAUCCCUGGCCUCCACCCAGCGAUGCCAUUAGCAUUCUCCCCGCUAGUUGUGAUAAUCAAAAAUGCCUCCAGAUGCUGCGAGAUGUCCUGGUGGGCAGAAGUCGUCACUGGUUUGACAACCACUGAUUUAGACCAAAGGACAGUUCAGUGGGCUAUAGCUCAGGCUGUUCCUGUUUGCCUUCCUGCAGCCUUUCUCACUGGCAGAGGGGGUGUGUUCAGGGGGUUGAGGUGGGAGAAGGAUGACUAGGACAAAGCUAUGAGUUUGCGUCUUUAGAGACAAGGAUUCUUAACCUGGGAAGAUGGGCAUUCAGGGAUCCGUGAACUGACAUUGUAGGCAAAACUUUGCAUUUGUGCCUGUGAAUAUUUUCCUGAGGAGAAGAUUCAUACAGCCAGUGCGCUGGUGUGUGGUUCAGGAGACCUUGUGGAAUGGGAGUAGGUGGACACCAGCUCCCCCAGUACGCACAGAGGCACCUUGCUUUUGUCUCCCAAGGUUGGGCAGGAUUCUAAUAUGAAAACGCAGGGAAGGUAAGCACUGAUAGCAGGGGAACAUUCCUCAUACUCCUUUCCUUAAAAGAGCACAAAAUUGUAAAUUAAAAAACAAUAAGCAACCUGGAUUCUAGGCCCAUGUUUGCCAGGGACCAGUAGUCUGACUUAAGGCAAGUCCCCACAGGCCUCUAGUGGUAAGAUUCUAAAUUCCAGGAUCCAUAUUAGUUUGCAUUAAUUUGUGUCUCUGUCUCCUUAUGGUCCCUUUGUUUGCUCUUUUCUAAAAUUCCAAAUGUGAUACUGUGGUGUUUAACAGCUAACUCUCUGUCAGGAAAUCUAGAUUUAUAGUGUUUACCAUUUUCAAUGAUGUAAGUACUCCCACCACGGUUGAUUUUGAGCUAUCAAAGUGAAGUCAGUGACGGCCGAUUUGGGAAGAGAUGUGUAUAAUUGGCUCACCAUGGCAGCCUGCUCUGGCACACCACUGGAUACUGAGUUCUUUCUCAUGUGAUCCUCUGUCUUCUCUGUUAACACUUACCUACAAAGCUGGGAUGCAGUUUCUCCUAUUAGAUUUCUGCUAUUGCUUAUUCUUUGGUUGAAUCAGCCUGGCAUGAUCUCUCCCUCAGCAGAAGCUUUAUUUUUCUAUUGCUAUCACUAAGUUAUGAGUAUAAUUAAAGAUUCAAACUUG